Phrynosoma platyrhinos (Desert horned lizard) is the source of this 71-nucleotide non-coding RNA. Lineage: Eukaryota; Metazoa; Chordata; Lepidosauria; Squamata; Phrynosomatidae. The record is from the annotation of a GenBank genome assembly.
GCCAUUGUGAUUUAGUGGUUUGAGUGCUGGGCUACUACUCCAGAGACCAAGGUUCGAUUCCCACUCAGCCA